Long non-coding RNA from Peromyscus californicus insignis, 2049 nucleotides. RefSeq lists it as uncharacterized. Lineage: Eukaryota; Metazoa; Chordata; Mammalia; Rodentia; Cricetidae. The record is from RefSeq and is a predicted model, not a curated record. The transcript is spliced from 4 exons.
UCCUGGAGUUCAACAGCUCACUGGGGAACCAGGGGUACUGGAAAACAAAAAUUUUAGCAAGCCUCAGAGUGGGCAUCAGUGGAGAAGCUGAUUCUCCUCAUGGCUUGCAUGAGUCUGUUCUGGAAACCAUAGCAACAACUACCUCUAUUGCUCUGCUUGGUCCUAACAACUGCCUGGGAACAAUUCUGUGUGAGAGAAGGAUGCCGGCGAACAGGAAAAGGUCAGUCACGGGUUUAAGCGGGUGAUCCAUGAUGGCACAGCUGUGGACCUACCGUUGAGGAACGUGGAAUUUACUCAGGUGCAAUUGGGAAGAAGUCUUAGGGAUAUACCCUUCUUCACUCACACCCUCAGAUGUGUCUGGAUCAAGGUCUCUUCUGAGUGAAAUUUAUGCGCUGCUUCCCAUCCAUUUAAACCAGAAAAAGUUUCGGCGUUAAGAAGGGCAUGAGAAACAGGUUGACUGUGAAAGAGUUCUUUGAACAUAGAAGACAAGGUGGUCUGUGAACGGCUCACAUAUGUCUUUCCAGGAGUUGCUUCUGGUCAUAGUGGUAAUCACAGCAGUAGUAAGUGAAUGAAGACACUGGGCUCCUAAGAAGGAUGUGGAGAGGAGCAGACACACCCUGAGUAGAUCAGAUAUGGCCUGUGGGGACUAGAGGCUGUCCCUUGCCAUUCAUCUGUAGCAGGAACUAUUGGGUGAGUAUUUUUUAAACAUAUUCAUUCUGAACAUCCCUGGGUGACAUUAUUCAGUGUGGCCAUGUAUCUGAAUAUUAGGAAACUAAAUGAGAACAGAAUCCAUGGGAGCCUUAUCCAGCUGUGACCCUUAGAAAUUUGCGGCUUGCCAUCUGGUAUAUUCAUACCCUUCAAGCUGUUUGUCUCAGCUGAGCACAGGAAACUUGAAGUUUUGUGUUGAACAUGGUUGAGCCUCGGUCUGCAGGAAGACUUGGUUGGUUCUCUGAGUCUAUACCUGGAAGAGUAAACCCACAUGGAAAAAGUGAGUACCACUUAUUCUAACUCUGCCAUCAUCAUGAGAAAUAAUGUUGAACAUUUAAUGGUGAUGCACACCUUUGAUCACAGCACUCAGGAGGCAGAGGUAGGCAGAUCUUUCUCUGAGUUCGAGGUCAGCCUGGUCUACAGAGCUAGUUCCAGGAAAGCCAGGGCUGCAUAGAGAAACCCUACCUCAAAACAAAAAAGCAAAAAACACCCUGCAAAGAAUUAAAAAAAUGAACACUUAAGUUCAUAUAUGGACAUACUCGCCUGCAUUCUUUAACAAUGCAGCACCACCUUGCCCUGGCAAAGAGAGAAAGUGUUGUGUUUCCUCUCACUAUUGAGUGAUGUUUUCUCCAUAGGACCAUUUCUGUCUGUAGAUGAUAAUGCCCAUGCCAUGAAACUUUACUGGUCCCCCAAAUGCAAUUCCAGCAGCUCAGGACAAGAGGGUGCCACAUUCCCCCAAGAAGUGUUGAUUCUCAGCAUUCUGAGAGAUCUUGAGAAGCCAAAGCAGCAGCUGCCUCAUGACUGAACUUUGAGAAUGGAUGACAAGGUUGGUCAAAGGAGAAGGAAUCUGAGAAGCAACGGCUUUGUGGUUUGCUCUGGGUGAAUGCCAGCCGAUGCCCCUGGACACCAGGUUUUUCAGACCGGAGCAAAGUCCAUUAUGGUGCCGAUAAUUAGAGGUGGGACGUGACGCUGUUCGACCCCCAGGCUUCUCUGCAAAGCUCUAGCUCUUUCUUUGUGGCACUCCAGUGAUUGAAAAUGAAAUUAUUUGCACAUGCAAGACAAGUACGUGCUCUUCUCUUAGCGGAGAAGGGAGCAAUCCUUAGGAAAUAGCUUUCUUCUCCAUCGAUCGGAAGUCUGCGAUAGCAGAAGUCACUGGGCCCCUUACCACCCUUUUUUUUUUUAAAACACCCAUCCUGAACGUGCAAGCUACUGAAUACCUUCGCGCUGCCGGUGUCUGAGUUUUGAAAGGUUUUGGGAGGUCAGUUUAUUAUCACCAACCUCGGUGAAACCCACUCUUAUCCCAACAGAUUUGUCUGAAAUACAGAACUUUGCUUAAAAGUC